RNAcentral lists this transfer RNA (67 nucleotides) under Chiridota sp. SS-2021. RNAcentral's name for it is "tRNA-Asp". Lineage: Eukaryota; Metazoa; Echinodermata; Holothuroidea; Apodida; Chiridotidae. The record is from RNAcentral.
UAGGGUUUAGUUAAAAAAAUAUAAUAUUAGGAUGUCAGCCUAAAGUUGCACCCUUUUGCAACCCUAG